CAACUCGCCUGCAUGAAGCUGGAAUUGCUAGUAAUCGCGGAUCAGCAUGCCGCGGUGAAUACGUUCCCGGGCCUUGUACACACCGCCCGUCACACCAUGAGAGUCGGGAACACCCGAAGUCCGUAGUCUAACCGCAAGGAGGGCGCGGCCGAAGGUGGGUCCGGUAAUUGGGGUGAAGUCGUAACAAGGUAGC
RNAcentral lists this ribosomal RNA (193 nucleotides) under uncultured bacterium. RNAcentral's name for it is "partial 16S ribosomal RNA". It matches the Rfam family "Bacterial small subunit ribosomal RNA", at positions 1308 to 1500 of the family's 1533-position model. The record is from RNAcentral.